RNAcentral lists this ribosomal RNA (253 nucleotides) under uncultured bacterium. RNAcentral describes it as "partial 16S ribosomal RNA". It matches the Rfam family "Bacterial small subunit ribosomal RNA", at positions 524 to 776 of the family's 1533-position model. The record is from RNAcentral.
GACGGAGGGUGCGAGCGUUAAUCGGAUUUACUGGGCGUAAAGCGUGCGUAGGCGGCUUUUUAAGUCGGAUGUGAAAUCCCUGAGCUUAACUUAGGAAUUGCAUUCGAUACUGGGAGGCUAGAGUAUGGGAGAGGAUGGUAGAAUUCCAGGUGUAGCGGUGAAAUGCGUAGAGAUCUGGAGGAAUACCGAUGGCGAAGGCAGCACACUGGCGCAAUACUGACGCUGAGGUACGAAAGCAUGGGGAGCAAACAGG